Molecule: ribosomal RNA, 519 nt
Filed under: uncultured eukaryote
Lineage: Eukaryota
Description: SSU rRNA
Rfam family: Eukaryotic small subunit ribosomal RNA
Source: RNAcentral
AGGGCACCACCAGGAGUGGAGCCUGCGGCUUAAUUUGACUCAACAUGGGAAAACUCACCCGGCCCGGACACCGUAAGGAUUGACAGAUUGAGAGCUCUUUCUUGAUUCGGUGGGUGGUGGUGCAUGGCCGUUCUUAGUUGGUGGAGCGAUUUGUCUGGUUAAUUCCGAUAACGAACGAGACUCUAGCCUGCUAAAUAGGCAGUGGAUUAUUCGUCCACUGUACUUCUUAGAGGGACAAGCAGCGUCUAGCUGCACGAGAUUGAGCAAUAACAGGUCUGUGAUGCCCUUAGAUGUUCGGGGCUGCACGCGCGCUACACUGAAGGAAUCAACAUGCUUCUCAACCUUGGCCGGAAGGUCUAGGUAACCCGUUGAAACUCCUUCGUGAUUGGGAUAGGGAAUUGCAAUUAUUUCCCUUGAACGAGGAAUUCCCAGUAAAGUGCGGGUCAUCAGCUCGCGCUGAUUACGUCCCUGCCCUUUGUACACACCACCCGUCGCUACUACCGAUUGGAGGUAGAGCAU